CGUUUAGGGGUAAACCUGAGAAACCCGAAAGGUCGAAGGGUGAAAUUCAAAUGCUGCUAGCGACCGGAGGCUGGUGGUCGAGCGACGGAAGACGUUCGCGUCAACCGCGCCCUCUGCCAGUCGAGCCGGCUGCGAGCGCGUGCACUUUUCACCUGGUAGGACGCCGCGAUUCGUUGGGUGUCGGUCUACGGUGCGUGGUGGAGCCCGCCUGUCCUUCGGGACGAGCGGACCCGCGCUACCCGGCCGACUUGCUCGACGGUAACUGAAUGGUUGGUGGCCGCUCCUCUGCGAGCGUUCGACUCGUGGCAAGCACGUCAGACCAGUCGGUGACCGGACCUAGUGCCGAUUCUGACUACUGGCGACUGUUGGCUGCGAUGCUAUCGAACAGACCACGCAAAACCGAUCAGCGACGCUAUAGCUUUGGGUACUUUCAGGACCCGUCUUGAAACACGGACCAAGGAGUCUAGCAUGUGCGCGAGUCAUUGGGAUUCACUAAACCUAAAGGCGCAAUGAAAGUAAAGGUUUCUGCUUGCAGAGACCGAGGGAAGAUGGGUGGCUCGUCCUUAAAAGCGACCAUCCAGCACUCCCGGGGCGUCUCAUUCUCAUUGCGAGAGGAGGCGCACCAUGAGCGUACACGCUGGGACCCGAAAGAUGGUGAACUAUGCCUGGU
RNAcentral lists this ribosomal RNA (670 nucleotides) under Diplotrichus gracilis. RNAcentral describes it as "Lanurgus gracilis partial large subunit ribosomal RNA". It matches the Rfam family "Eukaryotic large subunit ribosomal RNA", at positions 406 to 841 of the family's 3401-position model. Lineage: Eukaryota; Metazoa; Arthropoda; Insecta; Coleoptera; Curculionidae. The record is from RNAcentral.